Molecule: ribosomal RNA, 639 nt
Filed under: Phormidium boryanum
Lineage: Bacteria; Bacillati; Cyanobacteriota; Cyanophyceae; Oscillatoriales; Oscillatoriaceae
Description: bacterial SSU rRNA
Rfam family: Bacterial small subunit ribosomal RNA
Source: RNAcentral
UCGGACGGGGGUUCAUAACGCGUGAGAAUCUGCCUUAGGGAUGGGGAUAACCACGGGAAACGGUGGCUAAUACCCGAUGAGCCGAAAGGUAAAAAGUUUAUUGCCCUUAGAAGAGCUUGCGUUCGAUUAGCUAGUUGGUGAGGUUAAAACUUCCCAAGGCCCCCAUCCGUAAGUGGUUUGAGAGGAUGAGCAAGCCCACUGGGAAUGAGACCCGGGCCCGAAUCCUUCGGGAGGCAGCCGUGGGGAAUUUUUCCCCAAGGGCGCAAACCUGACGGAACAAUACCGCGUGAGGGAGGAAGGCUUUUGGGUUGUAAACCUCUUUUUUUAGGGAAGAAGUUCUGACGGUACCUGAGGAAUAAGCAUCGGCUAACUCCGUGCCAGCAGCCGCGGUAAUACGGAGGAUGCAAGCGUUAUCCGGAAUUAUUGGGCGUAAAGCGUCCGCAGGUGGCAUUUCAAGUCGGCGGUCAAAGACCAAGGCUCAACCUUGGAAAGGCAGUGGAAACUGAAAAGCUAGAGUGCGGUAGGGGUAGGGGGAAUUCCCAGUGUAGCGGUGAAAUGCGUAGAGAUUGGGAAGAACACCGGUGGCGAAAGCGCCCUACUAGGCCGCAACUGACACUCAGGACGAAAAGUUAUAGAGGU